GUACGCUGGCGGCACGCCUAACACAUGCAAGUCGAACGAAGUAGCAAUACUUAGUGGCAGACGGGUGAGUAACAUGUAGGUAUCUGCCCUUUGGCCUGGAAUAACACGAGGAAACUUGUGCUAAUACCGGAUAAGUCUUUACGGAGAAAGCUUUAUGCACCAUUGGAUGAGCCUGCACUUGAUUAGUUUGUUGGUGGGGUAAUGGCCUACCAAGACUGUGAUCAAUAGCUGAUUUGAGAGGAUGAUCAGCCACAUUGGGACUGAGACACGGCCCAAACUCCUACGGGAGGCAGCAGUGGGGAAUCUUGCACAAUGGAGGAAACUCUGAUGCAGCGAUGCCGCGUGAGUGAAGAAGGCCUUUGGGUUGUAAAGCUCUUUCGUCGGGGAAGAAAAUGACUGUACCCGAAUAAGAAGGUCCGG
This 420-nucleotide ribosomal RNA is filed under the name uncultured bacterium. RNAcentral describes it as "bacterial SSU rRNA". It matches the Rfam family "Bacterial small subunit ribosomal RNA", at positions 31 to 496 of the family's 1533-position model. The record is from RNAcentral.